Molecule: ribosomal RNA, 1442 nt
Filed under: uncultured organism
Description: SSU rRNA
Rfam family: Bacterial small subunit ribosomal RNA
Source: RNAcentral
AGGAUGAACGCUAGCUACAGGCUUAACACAUGCAAGUCGAUGGGCAUCAGGAAGAAAGCUUGCUUUCUUUGCUGGCGACCGGCGCACGGGUGAGUAACACGUAUCCAACCUGCCCUUUACUCGGGGAUAGCCUUUCGAAAGAAAGAUUAAUACCCGAUAGUAUAAUGAUUCCGCAUGGUUUCAUUAUUAAAGGAUUCCGGUAAAGGAUGGGGAUGCGUUCCAUUAGGUUGUUGGUGAGGUAACGGCUCACCAAGCCUUCGAUGGAUAGGGGUUCUGAGAGGAAGGUCCCCCACAUUGGAACUGAGACACGGUCCAAACUCCUACGGGAGGCAGCAGUGAGGAAUAUUGGUCAAUGGGCGCUAGCCUGAACCAGCCAAGUAGCGUGAAGGAUGAAGGCUCUAUGGGUCGUAAACUUCUUUUAUAUAAGAAUAAAGCGCAGUAUGUAUACUGUUUUGUAUGUAUUAUAUGAAUAAGGAUCGGCUAACUCCGUGCCAGCAGCCGCGGUAAUACGGAGGAUCCGAGCGUUAUCCGGAUUUAUUGGGUUUAAAGGGAGCGUAGGUGGACUGGUAAGUCAGUUGUGAAAGUUUGCGGCUCAACCGUAAAAUUGCAGUUGAUACUGUCAGUCUUGAGUACAGUAGAGGUGGGCGGAAUUCGUGGUGUAGCGGUGAAAUGCUUAGAUAUCACGAAGAACUCCGAUUGCGAAGGCAGCUCACUGGACUGCAACUGACACUGAUGCUCGAAAGUGUGGGUAUCAAACAGGAUUAGAUACCCUGGUAGUCCACACAGUAAACGAUGAAUACUCGCUGUUUGCGAUAUACAGUAAGCGGCCAAGCGAAAGCAUUAAGUAUUCCACCUGGGGAGUACGCCGGCAACGGUGAAACUCAAAGGAAUUGACGGGGGCCCGCACAAGCGGAGGAACAUGUGGUUUAAUUCGAUGAUACGCGAGGAACCUUACCCGGGCUUAAAUUGCAGUGGAAUGAUGUGGAAACAUGUCAGUGAGCAAUCACCGCUGUGAAGGUGCUGCAUGGUUGUCGUCAGCUCGUGCCGUGAGGUGUCGGCUUAAGUGCCAUAACGAGCGCAACCCUUAUCUUCAGUUACUAACAGGUCAUGCUGAGGACUCUGGAGAGACUGCCGUCGUAAGAUGUGAGGAAGGUGGGGAUGACGUCAAAUCAGCACGGCCCUUACGUCCGGGGCUACACACGUGUUACAAUGGGGGGGUACAGAAGGCAGCUAGCGGGUGACCGUAUGCUAAUCCCAAAAGCCUCUCUCAGUUCGGAUCGAAGUCUGCAACCCGACUUCGUGAAGCUGGAUUCGCUAGUAAUCGCGCAUCAGCCACGGCGCGGUGAAUACGUUCCCGGGCCUUGUACACACCGCCCGUCAAGCCAUGGGAGCCGGGGGUACCUGAAGUACGUAACCGCAAGGAUCGUCCUAGGGUAAAACUG